Molecule: long non-coding RNA, 3770 nt
Organism: Bombus huntii
Lineage: Eukaryota; Metazoa; Arthropoda; Insecta; Hymenoptera; Apidae
Exons: 2
Source: RefSeq, a predicted model, not a curated record
CGUUAUUCCGCGUCUUGGAAUCGCGCGACGUUCCAAUGUCGUCGUAUUUCGUAACCAAUAAGCUGGCAACAGCUCGGCAACGGUCACCGAUCGAACCAUCGUUAAUGAAAACUCUAAACAAUGGCCAAAGGAGGGACGAAGGAAUUUGCGUGGCAAGCCCGUGGAUGCAAAGCGGGACCUCCCAUAACGCGGCAGAUACGUAUUAUACGGGACCCGUAUUAGCCUGUUUCGCGUAAAAUCGUGAAAUUAUAAAAGAGAAAUCUGCGAUCUGCAAUGACUCGCUUAUCGAUUCGCUAACGUUAUUGCUCGCUAAAUUACCGCGCGGAAGGGCCCGGGUUACUCGGAAGCGGCGAAAGGAUAUCGAGAAAACGCGACUAUCGCUGGAAAGCACGUUGUAAAUUCUAUGGAAAGGAUCGAUAGAACGGUAAUUAGAGACACAGAAGUUUAGCCUGAAAGUAGAGUGGACAAGUUCUCGCGGCUUUUACCGAUACGAGGCAACUUUUAACGCAAUGUCGCCGUAGUCUUCUCCUUCCUCGUUCAUCGAUCUCGACAAUUUUCGAUAAAAAAAAAAAAAAAAAGAGAAUAAAUCUUUAAUAUCCGUCCGAACGGAGAGACGAUGGAUCGUCGCGAGGACGACUGGGAAAAUUUGGUAUGCACGCAGCCUUAUCGUAGAUUCGGCGCGAAGGAUGGCUGACACGAAAGUAGUCCGUAGUACAAGAUGCGAACACGAAUCGGCCGGACCAGCUGACUGCCAAAACAGCUGCGGCGAUACACGCGAUGAUGGAUCAUUGCUUGCUCCGUUUCACUGGUUCGUCGUCUCUUCCGCUUCUCCUUUCCACUUCGACUCGACCUCUCGACUCGAUCGUACGACUCUGUGCGUUCAGCCAAUUCCCGCGUAAUUAGCCGACCUUCUUCUUUUCAUCGAUUACGCGUAUAUGCUAAAGAGAUCCAAAAGCGAACAAUCGAUCGUAAGGUAACGUAAUCUUACAACUUGGAGAAAUUCGAAGAAAUCGAUGUGCUUAUAAAACUAUAAUUUAUAUACAGGGUGAUUGGUAACUGGCGGUACAAGCGGAAAGGGGGCGAUUCUACGCGAAAAAAGAAGUCGAAAACAUGGAAUAACAAUUUUUCGUUCGAGGCUUUGUUUUCGAGAAAAUCGACGUUGAAUUUUCGCUCGGUACGCCUGCACUUUAUCGCGUCUCGUUAUAACGGAUCUCACUGCAGAUCGUUGUGUCGAUGGAAAAAUUAAAAAAAAAAAAAAAAAAUCACCCCCUUUCCGCUUGUACCGCCAUUUACCAACCACCCUGUAUAAGUAUAUGUUUGUGAUAAAUAUUUAAAUAUAAAUAUACGCGUAUUUAAUAUAUAGAUAUAUAUUUGUAAUAAGCUAUCGCCUUGGUCUUUAAUCAAGAAAUCGACGUACGAUCUAUUUGAACGGAAUUUGAAAUGUAUCGAACUGAUUACCCACCGGGUGUGCUUUGCCUCUCUCUUUCGAGAACUAGCUGUUUUAUUUUUGGCCGUCUUACGUAAGGAACAAUGUUCGGUCGACGAUCGAGGCGACAAACAGCGUUAAUCGUACCGUGCGAUUUUGCCGCUAAUCUCGAAGUACGCUUCAAUCGCUCUUUCUCAAGGUACGCGUAUCGAAGCAACUAUUAUUCCUUAAGGAAAAUACAAAUUGCCGUUCGUGUUGCAGAGUCACGCAGUGACGAAGAGAUACUCGGUUUUCUGUACGCGAUAAAACGUUUGUUGUACCAAAUAGAAAGUUACCGUUAUCCAAUCCUGACGGCGGCUAAAAAAAUUCAAAGGCCUUUUCCGUCUCUUUUUCUUACGAUUAACCAAUUGUCGCGUUGGCUUGGAGUCUGUCGAUGCCGAGGAAAAAAUUGUUACGAGGAACGUAGACGAGUCGAGGAUAAAAACUAUCACGUUCCAUGGGAUAAAGCGAAACGCCGAAAAACCGGCACCGGUGGACUAAUAGCUAGAGGAGAAGUACGGUCGCUCGAGCGUGCUCGCGAUACUCUAACUCUGGUUCGUUAAUUUUUUCGUCGCGUUACGAUUCGAACGAAUUUACCCGAGAGUCGUUCGAGCCUCUCGCAAACCACAUUGAUCGAUACCAUAAGUCGAAAGUACGUUUGUCGAAUUUCCCUUAGAAUUUACCAUCGCUGCUGUCACGUUGCCACGAACGAUCUCGCACAGGUCGUUUGUCGCUCAAGAAUCGAACAUCGAUCGCGCGCUUAUGUAACGAAAUUAAAAAAUUAAUAAACAGUGGUUCGAUUCGAGCAGCUUGCAGGAGAUUCGUUUCUCGUGGUUUCCUAUUCCUUCGCUUGAACGUUCUAUAUUUUUCGAUUUAUCACAGCUAACGCCACAGACGAGCUCCGUACGACGCACACGUUGCAACGAAUUGCGGUUGCGUCACGCGUAUAACGCCUUCAAUGAAAUAUCGUAACGAACAUGAUAUCUGAUAUCGUACACGGUAUCCUUGAAUUUAUAUAAUGUCCAUUCUUUCGUUAUUCGUUAAGGCUUCUUUCGUUCCCCUCUAUCCUCGCUCGUCGAUCCUUUUCACCCUCCCCCUUCCUCCUAGUUUCCCCUCCAUCCAUCCAUCUAAGCGUCUAUCUGUUACUAUACGUUCGUUACUUCUCGCACGACUCUUCCUACACGAUACACGAAACGAUUGCGUAAGGAUUUCUUCGCUUUUGUAAAUAAUUGGACGAUGCUCGAGCGACCAGUUCCAUCGCCAAACAGCAAUACGGAAUUAUAAGCGUACAGAAACGUAGAAACUGCGGCCACUUUGGUCGCUGACUUUGACAGCCGACGAUCGUUCUCCCUGUCGACUUGUCGUGUAUCUUACGACGAACGACUUACGUUUUUCCGUACGACCUAUUGCAUAAAUAUAGAAAGACGCUAGUCAUCGGAGAAGUAUUUGCGAGCGGCGAGUUGCUACAAAUACGAACGCAUUUGUUCGCUUAAUUGUUUCGAAAACUGUGCGUUUGAGAUCAGUCGAGUCUAUGAAUGGAGAAAGGAGCACGGGGGUAGUUGGAGUCGCUCGACCGACAGCGGUCGAACGCGAUAGAGAGAGAGAGAGAGAGAGAGGGAAUAGACGGAGAAUAAUGACGUUCGUUCCGGAGAAUAAUUUUCAAGAGACGACAAAAAAUAUUUAAUUGCUGUCAGUAGGAUGGUUUCGAUUCACGCUUCGAUAAAUAAGAACUAUCGAUGGAUGGUAGAUAUUACGUGAUCGGGAAAUAAAAUGUCAAAUACCAUAGACGCGUAAUUGCGUAGGAAUUAAAGAGCGACGUAAGACGGAAAAUGCAAGCUCGAUAGGUUACAAGUGCAAGGACGAGAAAAGAGUCUGUUAGGUGUCCCCGAGCGAGUAGCAUCAGCGAUCGCGCGUGUCGCUCGUUCGUUCGCCCGCCAACCGCUUUCAUCCACUCUCGUUCUUGCACCCUUUUACCCUUUUUAUUCUUUGACGUAAGCCUUUUGUCCCUCAGGAUAUUUGCGGAGCUUUGUUUCGUCGACAGUAUGUACAGCGGCUUAAAUAUACGUCGCUAAUGGCACGGAACCGAAGAUACAAAGGGUUGCUCGCUACUGCUACCGUUCUUACUAUUACUGCCACUGCUGCUGGAUGCUGGCGUGUUUAUUUAUAAUUUGACCAUGGUCAAGAAAGGAACGAUCGAAUCGGUGGAAGCUAAAGAUCGACUUUCAAAGCGGACAGAGUUACUCGAACGAUGCAAAGAAUGCGAUCUUUUAUAAAUAAGGAAAUAAAAUAAAGCCGCACCACGUAA